UACGGGGGGGGCAAGCGUUGUUCGGAAUUACUGGGCGUAAAGGGUUUGUAGGUGGCCAACUAAGUCAGACGUGAAAUCCCUCAGCUUAACUGGGGAACUGCGUCUGAUACUGGUUGGCUUGAGUGCAGGAGAGGAACGCGGAAUUCCAGGUGUAGCGGUGAGAUGCGUAGAUAUCUGGAGGAACACCGGUGGCGAAGGCGGCGUUCUGGACUGCAACUGACACUGAGAAACGAAAGCCAGGGUAGCAAACGGG
RNAcentral lists this ribosomal RNA (253 nucleotides) under uncultured bacterium. RNAcentral describes it as "partial 16S ribosomal RNA". It matches the Rfam family "Bacterial small subunit ribosomal RNA", at positions 524 to 776 of the family's 1533-position model. The record is from RNAcentral.